UACGUAGGGGGCAAGCGUUGUCCGGAUUCACUGGGCGUAAAGAGCGUGUAGGCGGCCAAGCAGGUCCGUUGUGAAAACUGGAGGCUUAACCUCCAGACGUCGACGGAAACCGCGUGGCUAGAGUCCGGAAGAGGAGAGUGGAAUUCCUGGUGUAGCGGUGAAAUGCGCAGAUAUCAGGAGGAACACCGGUGGCGAAGGCGGCAUCCUGGACCGAGAUCGACGCUGAGGCGCGAAAGCUAGGGGAGCAAACGGG
This 253-nucleotide ribosomal RNA is filed under the name uncultured bacterium. RNAcentral describes it as "partial 16S ribosomal RNA". It matches the Rfam family "Bacterial small subunit ribosomal RNA", at positions 524 to 776 of the family's 1533-position model. The record is from RNAcentral.